Molecule: unclassified non-coding RNA, 204 nt
Filed under: Hevea brasiliensis (rubber tree)
Lineage: Eukaryota; Viridiplantae; Streptophyta; Magnoliopsida; Malpighiales; Euphorbiaceae
Source: RNAcentral
AAUCUUACCACCAUAGCUACAAAGAAACUUGAUAGUUUCUGCGCUUCUCUUUGAUUCACUAUCGCUCACCAUGUUUCCCUUCGGAGUGUACUUCUGUAAAGGGAAAGGAAGUCUGGGGUUCAAUUGGAAAAUAAGAUAGACCGAAGAGAAAAUUCUGGCGAGGAAAGGAAUGGUUGCUGAAACUGAAGAGGAGAGGAUAGCUUG